UAUAUAACGUCCUUAUAUCCCUCCUGAUAUUCAUAAGCUCAUCGACAGCCCCUCCGUGAACAAGUUCUUCCAGAGCAACACUGUGACCAAGCUUCUCCAAAGCAAAGACCGUCCAUAUCAACGUCCGCUCUCUAUCUGCUGUAUCGUGACUCCCAAAGACUCUGCAAAAUGAACAGUCUGCUGAUCUUGAUGGCUUUGUUCCUGAUGGCGGACGUGAGGCCAGAACCUCCGCCGGAGUUGCCCUGCCAUCCAAGAGACUUCACCGAUCUCGCCAGCUCCCGCUGCGCGGAAGCACACGAAGCAGACGAAACAGCGAAAGCACACUCCCACCUCGUCAAGCGAUCACGGCUGAUGAGGACCUGAAUUGGAUUUCUCGGUGGCUCAGACGCGAAUCAAUACUCACGUUUUUAAUCAUCAUAAAUAACUUUAUACUGUUUGAGAUGGUCGUUUCAUGUACUAUGUCAC
Long non-coding RNA from Bacillus rossius redtenbacheri, 465 nucleotides. RefSeq lists it as uncharacterized. The transcript is spliced from 3 exons. The record is from RefSeq and is a predicted model, not a curated record. NCBI's taxonomy places the organism in Eukaryota, Metazoa, Arthropoda, Insecta, Phasmatodea, Bacillidae.